AAGACAUAACUAAGACGUCCAACUUCCAUACAACCCAUAGAAAUUUUUGGGCCCAUGAAGUACUAGAACAGAAAAUUCAUAUACUUUACCUGUCUCUUGAGCAACCUUGUACUUUGCUCUGAACUGAAAAUCUGUUGCUAGGAGAAAAUUGCUGUUUACUCAACAAUAAACAAUCGCGGUACACUGCUUAGUGCAUGGAACCCGGUAGAGCUGCCUUGUGGUCAUUCCAGGAGAUUAAACCAAUUUGUCGCUGACAUUUUUUAUACAUGAA
This is a long non-coding RNA of Aedes albopictus (Asian tiger mosquito), 271 nucleotides long. RefSeq lists it as uncharacterized. NCBI's taxonomy places the organism in Eukaryota, Metazoa, Arthropoda, Insecta, Diptera, Culicidae. The record is from RefSeq and is a predicted model, not a curated record. The transcript has 2 exons.